CACAAACCACUCAUAACGGUAAUAAUAUGGUUUCCUAAAAUCCAUCUACUGAGUCAGAGUAAUAAGCAGCAUUUGAAAAAUCUGAAACACCCAACUUGAUUUAGAGAAAUGUUUGGGCAGUUCUCAAUUUGGGGAAGCUGCAGGGAAGGGGGUCAAAUUUGGGUUUUAAGUGGUUUUUGUUAAAAUUUAGAUUUGGGGAAGAAUUGGUGAAGCUGCCAUAAAAAGUGAACAUGUGAACGUAAUAUGUUCGUAUCCAUAAUUAGCUUCAGUAGAUCCAAUAACACAUAGGUAC
This 292-nucleotide long non-coding RNA is filed under the name Prunus persica (peach). RNAcentral describes it as "long non-coding RNA (PPER_LNC007940)". Lineage: Eukaryota; Viridiplantae; Streptophyta; Magnoliopsida; Rosales; Rosaceae. The record is from RNAcentral.